UUCCUCCCCGCCCCCCAUCAUCUCCCCAUUGCCAGCUGGCGGCCGCGGCACCGCGAUCCUACAGGGUGACACAGCGGCUCCCGGCCCUAUGGGGCGCGGUGGGGCCGGAGCGGCCCUAAUAUGGACAUGGGGCCGCGUCGCCCGCGGCGGGGAACGAGUGGGCGGGGCCACGAGGAGGGGGACUGAUGGAGUGAGGCGGGACAACGCGCUGACGGGCAGCGGGAUAAACCAAUCAGCGCGCGUCGCUUGCAACACCCCGAGGGGUGGGUGCUUUCUGAUUGGUCAGCGUAGGAAGGAGGCGGGAGCGUGCGGCGUGGCGCGGCGCUACUUCCGGUCGGUGCGGCGGAGCGGCGGGGAGAGGGCGGCGGAGCGGCCGGUCACCAUGAGCACCCAGGAGCUGCUGGUGCUGCUGUGUCUGAGGCGCGGCGUGCGUGGCCGCCAAGCCCCACGGAGAAGAAGAGCGCGUGACCACGAGGCGCCGCUGAGCGCGACACAGGAGGCACAACGACGCUACAGAGCUUCGACUACGACCACGACGCCUUCCUGGGAGCCCGACGAAGGGCCAAACAAAACCUUCGACCAGCUGACGCCGGAGGAGAGCAAGGAGAGACUGGGGUAGGGACUGAGAGCAAGGAGAGACUGGGGUAGGGACUGAGAGCAAGGAGAGACUGGGGUAGGGACUGACAAAGCAAGGAGAGACUGGGUGUAGGGACUGAAGAGCAGGAGAGACCUGGGGUAGGGACUGACGA
Molecule: long non-coding RNA, 749 nt
Filed under: Coturnix japonica (Japanese quail)
Lineage: Eukaryota; Metazoa; Chordata; Aves; Galliformes; Phasianidae
Description: lncRNA (ENSCJPG00005002226.1)
Source: RNAcentral